AUGGUUUGUCAAUCAAUUAUGCUAAAUCAGGCCUAUCCAAAACCUUUGCGAGCUAAAGCGCCUAAUGGUCCUUUAUGGCAUACUGAACGUGAAAAAGUACUGAAGUAUUUAUUGAUAGUGAAUAUAUACCGUAAGUAAAAACAAAAUAAUUUAUUAAUUACAUAAUUCUAUCUCUUCAGUUUAAAAAAUGUUCCUAGAAAUACAAAGGAGAUUGAAUGCAUCAAUAAAUCUUAAUAAAUUUUUAAAACAUCCAAAUAUA
Molecule: long non-coding RNA, 259 nt
Organism: Monomorium pharaonis (pharaoh ant)
Lineage: Eukaryota; Metazoa; Arthropoda; Insecta; Hymenoptera; Formicidae
Exons: 2
Source: RefSeq, a predicted model, not a curated record